RNAcentral lists this ribosomal RNA (208 nucleotides) under Hypocreales sp. RNAcentral's name for it is "partial large subunit ribosomal RNA". The record is from RNAcentral. Lineage: Eukaryota; Fungi; Ascomycota; Sordariomycetes; Hypocreales.
AAGCGCUUGUGACCAGACUUGGGCUUGGUUGAUCAUCCGGGGUUCUCCCCGGUGCACUCUUCCGGCUCAGGCCAGCAUCAGUUCGCCCUGGGGGAUAAAAGCCUUGGGAAUGUGGCUCCUCCGGGAGUGUUAUAACCCAGGGUAUAAUACCCCUAAGGAGACCGAGGUUCGCGCUCUGCAAGGAUGCUGGCGUAAUGGUCAUCAGCGA